Molecule: ribosomal RNA, 163 nt
Filed under: Colletotrichum fioriniae
Lineage: Eukaryota; Fungi; Ascomycota; Sordariomycetes; Glomerellales; Glomerellaceae
Description: partial 5.8S ribosomal RNA
Rfam family: 5.8S ribosomal RNA
About the family: 5.8S ribosomal RNA (5.8S rRNA) is a component of the large subunit of the eukaryotic ribosome.
Source: RNAcentral
AAAUAAUUAAAACUUUUAACAACGGAUCUCUUGGUUCUGGCAUCGAUGAAGAACGCAGCGAAAUGCGAUAAGUAAUGUGAAUUGCAGAAUUCAGUGAAUCAUCGAAUCUUUGAACGCACAUUGCGCUCGCCAGCAUUCUGGCGAGCAUGCCUGUUCGAGCGUC